This 207-nucleotide ribosomal RNA is filed under the name uncultured bacterium. Its description in RNAcentral is "partial 16S ribosomal RNA". It matches the Rfam family "Bacterial small subunit ribosomal RNA", at positions 568 to 774 of the family's 1533-position model. The record is from RNAcentral.
CGCGUAGGCGGCUUGUUAAGUCAGAUGUGAAAGCCCCGGGCUCAACCUGGGAAUUGCAUUUGAUACUGGCAGGCUAGAGUGUGGUAGAGGGAAGUGGAAUUCCGGGUGUAGCGGUGAAAUGCGUAGAUAUCCGGAGGAACACCAGUGGCGAAGGCGACUUCCUGGACCAACACUGACGCUGAGGUGCGAAAGCGUGGGGAGCAAACA